Molecule: ribosomal RNA, 479 nt
Filed under: uncultured bacterium
Lineage: Bacteria
Description: partial 16S ribosomal RNA
Rfam family: Bacterial small subunit ribosomal RNA
Source: RNAcentral
UGAACGCUGGCGGCGUGCUUAACACAUGCAAGUCGAACGAAGCACUUUAUUUGAUUUCCUUCGGGACUGAUUAUUUUGUGACUGAGUGGCGGACGGGUGAGUAACGCGUGGGUAACCUGCCUUGUACAGGGGGAUAACAGUUGGAAACGGCUGCUAAUACCGCAUAAGCGCACAGCAUCGCAUGAUGCAGUGUGAAAAACUCCGGUGGUAUAAGAUGGACCCGCGUUGGAUUAGCUAGUUGGCGAGGUAACGGCCCACCAAGGCGACGAUCCAUAGCCGACCUGAGAGGGUGACCGGCCACAUUGGGACUGAGACACGGCCCAAACUCCUACGGGAGGCAGCAGUGGGGAAUAUUGCACAAUGGGCGAAAGCCUGAUGCAGCGACGCCGCGUGAGCGAAGAAGUAUUUCGGUAUGUAAAGCUCUAUCAGCAGGGAAGAUAAUGACGGUACCUGACUAAGAAGCACCGGCUAAAUACGUG